UACGAAGGUGGCAAGCGUUGUUCGGAUUUACUGGGCGUAAAGGGAGCGUAGGUGGUCGGGUAAGCCCCGCGGGAAAGCUCCAGGCUUAACCUGGAAAGGUCGCGGGGGACUGCGCGGCUAGAGGACGGGAGAGGAGCGCGGAAUUCCCGGUGUAGCGGUGAAAUGCGUAGAGAUCGGGAGGAAGGCCGGUGGCGAAGGCGGCGCUCUGGAACGGCCCUGACACUGAGGCUCGAAAGCGUGGGGAGCAAACAGG
Molecule: ribosomal RNA, 253 nt
Filed under: uncultured bacterium
Lineage: Bacteria
Also listed under: 1 other name
Description: partial 16S ribosomal RNA
Rfam family: Bacterial small subunit ribosomal RNA
Source: RNAcentral